RNAcentral lists this ribosomal RNA (221 nucleotides) under uncultured bacterium. Its description in RNAcentral is "partial 16S ribosomal RNA". It matches the Rfam family "Bacterial small subunit ribosomal RNA", at positions 114 to 334 of the family's 1533-position model. The record is from RNAcentral.
UACAUCGGAACGGUAGUCCCGUAGUGGGGGAUAGCCCGGCGAAAGCCGGAUUAAUACCGCAUAUGCUCUACGGAGGAAAGUGGGGGACUCGCAAGGGCCUCACGCUAUGGGAGCGGCCGAUGUCCGAUUAGCUUGUUGGCGGGGUAAUGGCCCACCAAGGCGACGAUCGGUAGCUGGUCUGAGAGGAUGAUCAGCCACACUGGGACUGAGACACGGCCCAG